Molecule: ribosomal RNA, 253 nt
Filed under: uncultured bacterium
Lineage: Bacteria
Description: partial 16S ribosomal RNA
Rfam family: Bacterial small subunit ribosomal RNA
Source: RNAcentral
UACGGGGGGGGCAAGCGUUGUUCGGAAUUACUGGGCGUAAAGGGCUCGUAGGCGGCCAACUAAGUCGGAUGUGAAAUCCCCAGGCUUAACCUGGGAACUGCAUCCGAUACUGGGUGGCUUGAAUCCGGGAGAGGGAUGCGGAAUUCCAGGUGUAGCGGUGAAAUGCGUAGAUAUCUGGAGGAACACCGGUGGCGAAGGCGGCAUCCUGGACCGGCAUUGACGCUGAGGAGCGAAAGCCAGGGGAGCAAACGGG